Molecule: unclassified non-coding RNA, 312 nt
Filed under: uncultured fungus
Lineage: Eukaryota; Fungi
Description: partial contains 18S rRNA, ITS1, 5.8S rRNA, ITS2 and 28S rRNA
Source: RNAcentral
AGGGAUCAUUAACACGUAUCCACGUAUCAACCAAACGCGAACUCGGAGCUUCACGGCUCCAAUUCUCCCUGUUAGAGAUCUGCUGUUAAGUAGUGUUUUGUAGUGGGUGUAAACGAAAGUUUGCACGACACGACUUAACUCGAGGCUCGACCUCAAGGCAAUCUUUUUCAGGUAUUUCUUUACCACUACUAACAAUAACCCCUUUCACCUUUUUAAUACCAAUUGACUGAUUUGUUUCCUUGAGAGAAAUCUCAUGUGAAUACGAUAUUCUAACUAAAAGCACAACUCUUAGCAAUGGAUAUCUUGGUUCUC